GAUGAACGCUGGCGGCGUGCCUAAUACAUGCAAGUCGAGCGAACAGACGAGGAGCUUGCUCCUCUGACGUUAGCGGCGGACGGGUGAGUAACACGUGGAUAACCUACCUAUAAGACUGGGAUAACUUCGGGAAACCGGAGCUAAUACCGGAUAAUAUAUUGAACCGCAUGGUUCAAUAGUGAAAGACGGUUUUGCUGUCACUUAUAGAUGGAUCCGCUCCGCAUUAGAUAGUUGGUAAGGUAACGGCUUACCAAGGCAACGAUGCGUAGCCGACCUGAGAGGGUGGUCGGCCACACUGGAGCUGAGACACGGUCCAGACUCCUACGGGAGGCAGCAGUAGGGCAUCUUCCGCAAUGGGCGAAAGCUUGACGGAGCAAAGCCGCGUGAGUGAUGAAGGUCUUCGGAUCGUAAAACUCUGUUAUUAGGGAAGAACAAAUGUGUAAGUAACUAUGCACGUCUUGACGGUACCUAAUCAGAAAGCCACGGCUAACUACGUG
This 497-nucleotide ribosomal RNA is filed under the name uncultured bacterium. Its description in RNAcentral is "partial 16S ribosomal RNA". It matches the Rfam family "Bacterial small subunit ribosomal RNA", at positions 28 to 507 of the family's 1533-position model. The record is from RNAcentral.